ACUCCUACGGGAGGCAGCAGUGGGGAAUAUUGCACAAUGGGCGCAAGCCUGAUGCAGCCAUGCCGCGUGUAUGAAGAAGGCCUUCGGGUUGUAAAGUACUUUCAGCAGUGAGGAAGGUGGAUAUGUUAAUAGCAUAUUCAUUUGACGUUAGCUGCAGAAGAAGCACCGGCUAACUCCGUGCCAGCAGCCGCGGUAAUACGGAGGGUGCGAGCGUUAAUCGGAAUUACUGGGCGUAAAGCGCAUGCAGGUGGUUUGUUAAGUCAGAUGUGAAAGCCCGGGGCUCAACCUCGGAAUUGCAUUUGAAACUGGCAAACUAGAGUACUGUAGAGGGGGGUAGAAUUUCAGGUGUAGCGGUGAAAUGCGUAGAGAUCUGAAGGAUACCGGUGGCGAAGGCGGCCCCCUGGACAGAUACUGACACUCAGAUGCGAAAGCGUGGGGAGCAAACAGGAUUAGAUACCCUGGUAGGCCUAC
RNAcentral lists this ribosomal RNA (471 nucleotides) under uncultured bacterium. RNAcentral's name for it is "bacterial SSU rRNA". It matches the Rfam family "Bacterial small subunit ribosomal RNA", at positions 335 to 798 of the family's 1533-position model. The record is from RNAcentral.